This 497-nucleotide ribosomal RNA is filed under the name uncultured bacterium. RNAcentral's name for it is "partial 16S ribosomal RNA". It matches the Rfam family "Bacterial small subunit ribosomal RNA", at positions 28 to 507 of the family's 1533-position model. The record is from RNAcentral.
GAUGAACGCUGGCGGCGUGCCUAAUACAUGCAAGUCGAGCGAACAGACGAGGAGCUUGCUCCUCUGACGUUAGCGGCGGACGGGUGAGUAACACGUGGAUAACCUACCUAUAAGACUGGGAUAACUUCGGGAAACCGGAGCUAAUACCGGAUAAUAUAUUGAACCGCAUGGUUCAAUGGUGAAAGACGGUUUUGCUGUCACUUAUAGAUGGAUCCGCGCCGCAUUAGCUAGUUGGUAAGGUAACGGCUUACCAAGGCGACGAUGCGUAGCCGACCUGAGAGGGUGAUCGGCCACACUGGAACUGAGACACGGUCCAGACUCCUACGGGAGGCAGCAGUAGGGAAUCUUCCGCAAUGGGCGAAAGCCUGACGGAGCAACGCCGCGUGAGUGAUGAAGGUCUUCGGAUCGUAAAACUCUGUUAUUAGGGAAGAACAAAUGUGUAAGUAACUAUGCACGUCUUGACGGUACCUAAUCAGAAAGCCACGGCUAACUACAUG